GGACAAGAUUAUUGUUUUCAAUCUAAAUACGGCCAGACUCUCAGAUCUCAGACUGCCUCCUCAAACAAUGGCUCGAACCUUGCACUUUAAAUCUAUCCAGAGCUUAUACUGACUGGGGAUAAUUAUUCAGCUAUGUUAUUUUAAGAUAGGCGCGGGCGUUUGGGGUUAAACAUAAUUUCGUAGGUAAAUAAUAUUAAUGUGGAACUUUUUUCAUGAGAUUAUAAUAGAGUAUAACUUUUUUUGGUUGAAUUGUGAAAUAGAAGUCAAUACGUUCU
This 275-nucleotide long non-coding RNA is filed under the name Mytilus galloprovincialis (Mediterranean mussel). The record is from RNAcentral. Lineage: Eukaryota; Metazoa; Mollusca; Bivalvia; Mytilida; Mytilidae.